AUUUUUGAUAAUUAGGAGUAAAUUUAUUGAAAAUUAAAUUGUUUGGCGGUAAGAAUUUAAUUUAGAGGAACUUGUUUAUUAAAAGAAUUUGCUCUAUAUAUUUUACUUGAUUUUGGUUAUUUAUCUCUGUUUGAAGAUUUUCUUUUUUAUUUUGUUUGAAAACUAUAAGUCAAGUCAAGAUGUACCUUUAUUAAGUUUAUAUUAGUUACAUUAAUUGGAUUUAUUUUGAAAUAAUUUUAUGAAAUUGAAUUUAUAUGUAUUGAUAUUUAUUAUGAUAUUGAUAAUUAAAAUUUUU
Molecule: ribosomal RNA, 295 nt
Filed under: Remyus sp. DNA102660
Lineage: Eukaryota; Metazoa; Arthropoda; Arachnida; Opiliones; Phalangodidae
Description: partial 12S ribosomal RNA
Source: RNAcentral